CCCCUCUCAGGAUCAUACCUGGAGAGUUUCCAGUACUCUACCAGUCUCAAUUAUGGGAGGGAGAGUCAAGCAGAGGCAUUCCAUUCCAUUCCUAGCUUGGGCAAUGGCUAGCAAGUGGAAGGCAAUCUGCUAAAAGU
Molecule: small nucleolar RNA, 137 nt
Filed under: Ornithorhynchus anatinus (platypus)
Lineage: Eukaryota; Metazoa; Chordata; Mammalia; Monotremata; Ornithorhynchidae
Source: RNAcentral